GAUUAGCCAUGCAUGUCUAAGUACAUGCCGUAUUAAGGCGAAACCGCGAAUGGCUCAUUAAAUCAGUCAUGGUUCCUUGGAUCGUACCUUACUACUUGGAUAACUGUGGCAAUUCUAGAGCUAAUACAUGCAGCAGAGCUCCGACCUUCGGGGACGAGCGCUUUUAUUAGACCAAAACCAAUCGGACCUCGUGUCCGUCCUUUGUGGUGACUCUGUAUAACUUUGGGCUGAUCGCACGGGCCUGUCCCGGCGACGUAUCUUUCAAGUGUCUGCCUUAUCAACUUUCGAUGGUAGGUUACGCGCCUACCAUGGUCGUAACGGGUAACGGGGAAUCAGGGUUCGAUUCCGGAGAGGGAGCCUGAGAAACGGCUACCACAUCCAAGGAAGGCAGCAGGCGCGCAAAUUACCCACUCCCAGAACGGGGAGGUAGUGACGAAAAAUAACAAUACGGGACUCUUUUGAGACCCCGUAAUUGGAAUGAGUACACUCUAAAUCCUUUAACGAGGAUCCAUUGGAGGGUAAGUCUGGUGCCAGCAACCGCGGUAAUUCCAGCUCCAAUAGCGUAUAUUAAAGUUGUUGCGGUUAAAAAGCUCGUAGUUGGAUCUCAGUUCCAGACGGGUGGUCCGCCUACCGGUGGUUACUGCCUGUUCUGAACAGUCAGCCGGUUUCUCUUGAUGAUCUUCACCGGUUGUCUUGGGUGACCGGCAAGUUUACUUUGAAAAAAUUAGAGUGCUCAAAGCAGGCGUGACGCCUGAAUAAUGGUGCAUGGAAUAAUGGAAUAGGACCUCGGUUCUAUUUUGUUGGUUUUCGGAACACGAGGUAAUGAUUAAGAGGGACAGACGGGGGCAUUCGUAUUGCGACGCUAGAGGUGAAAUUCUUG
RNAcentral lists this ribosomal RNA (880 nucleotides) under Pireneitega luctuosa. Its description in RNAcentral is "SSU rRNA". It matches the Rfam family "Eukaryotic small subunit ribosomal RNA", at positions 42 to 922 of the family's 1831-position model. The record is from RNAcentral. Lineage: Eukaryota; Metazoa; Arthropoda; Arachnida; Araneae; Agelenidae.